CGGCGAUCUAGGGUUUCAUGAGAUCUAUCACCAGAUCCGUUUGAAUCUAUCACCAGAUCCGUUUGAUGAGCAGAUCUAGGGUUUCAUGAGAUCUAUCACAAGCUUUAUCUUGUAACUUAAUGUCGAAGGCACCAAGGGAUCCACAGAUUUGCUGGAGAAUGGCCGGAAUCAGGUGACUGUCUGUCCAUGAAUCUCUCUGGAAUCAUGUUUCAGAUGAAGAUUUCUAUAUAAAACAUACCAGUUUGUGUGGAAGAACGAGCAAGGAGAGAAGAGGCGCUCUUCACCCGAGCGCCUCUUACAAGAAUGGAUAAAAAGCGGUUGAAACACGUGUGCGAAUCAAGUAACGGGCUGCAUGGUUUAGCUUAUGGUUUUGAGGAUGAUAUCAAAUCUUUACCUCUGGAGGAUGGUGUUGAUGGGCAAAUGUCGUCUUUCAUGUAUUUAGACGGCAGAGAAAGAAAGUUCAAGAGGCGAAAGAUUACCUGGUGGUUGUGGGUGGAAGAUGGUGGCGAUGACACAGAUCUACCGUUUGGUGGCCGGAUCUACCGUUUGAAGUUGCACUUUGUGGGUGUUCAAAUUAAAGACACUCCCAAUGUAAGUUUUAUUUUUAUUUUAGUGUUUUUUUUGCUAUUGUCGUUAUCAAGUUGUCAUAUGUGUUUAUAAAAGUUUAAUGAUUUGACCUAAAUUAUAUAAAUUCACGCGUUUAUGUUUUUUUCUAAUACUUGAUUUCUGAAAUGCAUUUUAUGAUGGUUGACUUUGCGAGAACUAACGGAGCAUUAGUGUCAAAGUACUGGAAAGAGGUUGGGCGUCGAUCUUACAAUUUUAGCCUGGGGGUAACAAGAGCAGAACAUGGAAGCUGUGGAGGAGCCCGUCAGCCGGGUGUUCGUCUUCUUCGACGAGUUCAUCUUCUAAGGCGAUGAAAGGCGUGGGACGGUUGUCGACUUCGGAUGCGUCACGUUCGGAUGAGGUUUCGUUUUCGGCUGCUGUGGCUACUGUGGUUAGAGCUCCGCCUAAAGAUUUCUUGUUUGUUAGGCAAGAAUGGGCUGCGAUUCGAAUUCAGUCGGUUUUUCGCUCUUUUUUGACAAAAAUGGAUGCCAAAAUAACUGGUUGUUCCGGUGGGCCCACAGCAGGGAAGUACAAUCUACAGCUGAAAAAGCAACAUUUUACUACUGUGUGAAAGACAGCUUGCUUGCUGCAGUCUCUAUAAUGUAUCAACACUCUACAAACACUGUUUGAAAGACAGCAUGUUUGCUUCAGUCUCUAUAAAUAAUUCAGAUGUAUCAACACUCUACAAACACUUUACAAACCCUCAACUACACUCAACUUAAAUUAAUAUAUCGACUCUUUGCAUCUGGAUCUUGCGUUGUUUCUCGGCUCUCACAUCAAGGUUUUAGUUUUUUUGUCGGCUUUUCACAUCUCCCUCUUGCAUUGUUGUAAGUUCUUUCAAAUUUCUUGGUUUUUUUGUAACUUUUAACUGUAGCUUUUAACUUUAGAAGAUUGUAAAUGUUGAAAUAACUGGGGUUUUUGGA
Long non-coding RNA from Helianthus annuus (common sunflower), 1526 nucleotides. RefSeq lists it as uncharacterized. The transcript is spliced from 7 exons. The record is from RefSeq and is a predicted model, not a curated record. Lineage: Eukaryota; Viridiplantae; Streptophyta; Magnoliopsida; Asterales; Asteraceae.